GAUGAACGCUAGCGGCAGGCUUAACACAUGCAAGUCGAGGGGUAGGUUACUUCGGUAAUUGAGACCGGCGCACGGGUGCGUAACGCGUAUACAAUCUACCUUUUACAGAGGGAUAGCCCAGAGAAAUUUGGAUUAAUACCUCAUAGUAUUUUUGAAUCGCAUGAUUUGAUUAUUAAAGUUCCAACGGUAAAAGAUGAGUAUGCGUCCCAUUAGCUAGAUGGUAAGGUAACGGCUUACCAUGGCUACGAUGGGUAGGGGUCCUGAGAGGGAGAUCCCCCCACACUGGUACUGAGACACGGACCAGACUCCUACGGGAGCAGCAGUGAGGAAUAUUGGACAAUGGGGCGCAAGCCUGAUCCAGCCAUGCCGCGUGCAGGAAGAAGGUCCUAAUGGAUUGUAAACUGCUUUUAUACAAGAAGAAACACUCCCUCGUGAGGGAACUUGACGGUACUGUAUGAAUAAGGACCGGCUAACU
Molecule: ribosomal RNA, 475 nt
Filed under: uncultured bacterium
Lineage: Bacteria
Description: bacterial SSU rRNA
Rfam family: Bacterial small subunit ribosomal RNA
Source: RNAcentral